Molecule: ribosomal RNA, 484 nt
Filed under: uncultured bacterium
Lineage: Bacteria
Description: bacterial SSU rRNA
Rfam family: Bacterial small subunit ribosomal RNA
Source: RNAcentral
AUUGAACGCUGGCGGCAUGCCUUACACAUGCAAGUCGAACGGCAGCACGGGUGCUUGCACCUGGUGGCGAGUGGCGAACGGGUGAGUAAUACAUCGGAACGUACCUUAUCGUGGGGGAUAACGCAGCGAAAGCUGUGCUAAUACCGCAUACGCCCUGAGGGGGAAAGCGGGGGAUCGAAAGACCUCGCGCGAUUAGAGCGGCCGAUGCCUGAUUAGCUUGUUGGUGGGGUAAAAGCCCACCAAGGCGACGAUCAGUAGCUGGUYUGAGAGGACGAUCGGCCACACUGGGAMUGAGACACGGCCCAGACUCCUACGGGAGGCAGCAGUGGGGAAUUUUGGACAAUGGGGGCAACCCUGAUCCAGCAAUGCCGCGUGAGUGAAGAAGGCCUUCGGGUUGUAAAGCUCUUUUGUCAGGGAAGAAACACCGGCUCUAACACAGUCCGGGAAUGACGGUACCUGAAGAAUAAGCACCGGCUAAUCUGUG